GAUGAACGCUGGCGGCGUGCCUAAUACAUGCAAGUCGAGCGAACGGACGAGAAGCUUGCUUCUCUGAUGUUAGCGGCGGACGGGCGAGUAACACGUGGAUAACCUACCUAUAUUACUGGGAUAACUUCGGGAAACCGUAGCUAAUACCGGAUAAUAUUUUGAACCGCAUGGUUCAAAAGUGAAAGACGGUCUUGCUGUCACUUAUAGAUGGAUCCGCGCUGCAUUAGCUAGUUGGUAAGGUAACGGCUUACCAAGGCAACGAUGCAUAGCCGACCUGAGAGGGUGAUCGGCCACACUGGAACUGAGACACGGUCCAGACUCCUACGGGAGGCAGCAGUAGGGAAUCUUCCGCAAUGGGCGAAAGCCUGACGGAGCAACGCCGCGUGGGUGAUGAAGGUCUUCGGAUCGUAAAGCUCUGUUAUUAGGGAAGAACAGAUGUGUAAGUAACUGUGCACAUCUUGACGGUACCUAAUCAGAAAGCAACGGCUAACUACGUG
RNAcentral lists this ribosomal RNA (497 nucleotides) under uncultured bacterium. RNAcentral's name for it is "partial 16S ribosomal RNA". It matches the Rfam family "Bacterial small subunit ribosomal RNA", at positions 28 to 507 of the family's 1533-position model. The record is from RNAcentral.